Molecule: long non-coding RNA, 865 nt
Organism: Daphnia carinata
Lineage: Eukaryota; Metazoa; Arthropoda; Branchiopoda; Diplostraca; Daphniidae
Exons: 4
Source: RefSeq, a predicted model, not a curated record
UAGGAUUGGAUAGCACGCUUGGUGGGUUCAAGGCAAUGAUUACUGGCCUAUGCGUAACGCUGGGCCGAAGGCGGGAACUAUUUGUUGGAAUAUUACUCGUUUUCAUCUACCUGUGCGCUCUACCGCCCACCACUUAUGUGGAAUGUAUUUGGUGGAUUUACUGAACGUCUACAGCCUAGGCAUUGCCAUCCUUUUCUUGGUGUUUGUGGAAGGAAUGGGCGUGAGUUGGUGUUAUGGCACACAGAGAUUCUCCAACAAUAUCGAAUCUAUGCUGGGAUUUCAACCUGCACCCAUUUGGAAGAUCACUUGGGCGUAUGUCAGCCCCAUUUUUAUUUUGUUAAUUUUCAUCUGUACUCUGGUCGAUCCGGUCCCAUUGCAUACAUAAGAUUAUACUUAUCCUGCCUGGUCCAUCAAAGUCGGUUGGGUUCUCACAGCCAUUCCGCUCUCUUGCAUCCCUGUCUACAUGAUCUACAAAUUCGGCAUUACGAAAGGAUCUUUUACACAGCGACUGGUGAAAAUGUUUACACCGGAAGAUACGAGUGAUCCUCGGAAUUUGUCGCAAAUAUCUUUGACGGCUCGGGAUGUCGUGGGGCCCAGCAGUGUCAGCCAUCACCCCACCUCCUACGGCACUCAAGUCCGAAUGAACAACCGAAUCUACACUUAAUUAAGUAUUUUUUUUUUUUUGUUUUUGAUUUUUUUAUUCGGGGAUAAGGAAUUAAUUAUUGUUCUGCUUUUACUUUUGUUUUCUACGAUAAGUCAUAGUAAUAUAUUGAUGUUCAUAGAAGUAUAGUAGGGUAAUAUCAUCAGUGAUCAUGGAUAUUUUUCAUCUUAGUUUUAUAAGACCCCUGUCGUUUCAUUUUUGAUU